Molecule: long non-coding RNA, 843 nt
Organism: Aedes albopictus (Asian tiger mosquito)
Lineage: Eukaryota; Metazoa; Arthropoda; Insecta; Diptera; Culicidae
Exons: 2
Source: RefSeq, a predicted model, not a curated record
UCGGAUGCGGAACGGUCUGCAGCGGUGGGUGGCGACGGAGCGGACGGAGUAGAGUUUUGCGACCAUCAUCAGCAGCAGCAGUUUGUGCAAGACACAAGAGCGAACGCAGAGGAGAACGACGGGAAUCGUAAAAAAAGACAAGAUUCGUAAUCGUUUUCCACCAUCAAAGUUCGGUAGUGAAAUUGAAAUAAACUUUUCUCCGUGAAAUUUGCACCGUUCGAUCCGAAUUACGCGUCAAUUUGUGCGUGCUGUCACUCAGUCAGUCAACCAAGAGGACGUAGUGUGUGGCAGACAAACGAGACAAGGCCAUCCUCAGGCCAGCACGGCAUACGGUGGAAGUGAAAGAAUACUGCCUGCCGUGCAGCAGCAGCAGCAGCUAGCUAACGUCAGCAAGUCAAAGGCCCAACAACAUCCAUCGCGAGUGAGGUGUCCCGCAACGAAAAAACAAGCAAGACGUUGCGCAAAUUUCCUCCAAGAAUAACGCACUCCACGACGGACACUCGAUUCACGGUCGGUCGGGUCGAUUGGAUUGGUUGGUGGCCAAUGCUGUGCGGUGCCUGCUGGAGGAAGCGCCGGAGGAGUGCAGUUAUUUUGUGUUUUCCGUUGUGUGUUUUGUGUGUGGAAUAUUAGAAAAAUAGAAGAACAGCAAUUGCAGCUGGCAGGUGUGCGUGUGUGAAUAUAUAGUGUGAAGAAGCAGCAGAACAGGGAACAACGGAAGCUGGUUGUUGGAAGCAGCUGAGCGGAGCUACGACGCGGUUGCAGCGAAGGUGGAAGGCGCCUGCCUGUGUGCACUUUGUGUAUACGCUUCGGUAUAGUUUUACAAUAUAGUGCUAGCGACAGCAG